UCCCUGGUGGCUCAGUUGGUAAAGAAUUUGCCUGCAAUGCAGGAGACCUAGGUUCAUUCCCUGGGUAGGGAA
Non-coding RNA from Bos taurus (domestic cattle), 72 nucleotides. The record is from Rfam. Lineage: Eukaryota; Metazoa; Chordata; Mammalia; Artiodactyla; Bovidae.